CAGUCGCCACGGUAAUACAGAGGGUGCGAGCGUUAAUCGGAUUUACUGGGCGUAAAGCGUGCGUAGGCGGCUUUUUAAGUCGGAUGUGAAAUCCCUGAGCUUAACUUAGGAAUUGCAUUCGAUACUGGGAAGCUAGAGUAUGGGAGAGGAUGGUAGAAUUCCAGGUGUAGCGGUGAAAUGCGUAGAGAUCUGGAGGAAUACCGAUGGCGAAGGCAGCCAUCUGGCCUAAUACUGACGCUGAGGUACGAAAGCAUGGGGAGCAAACAGGAUUAGAGACCCCUGUAGUCCCUGUCUCUUAUAC
This 301-nucleotide ribosomal RNA is filed under the name uncultured bacterium. RNAcentral describes it as "partial 16S ribosomal RNA". It matches the Rfam family "Bacterial small subunit ribosomal RNA", at positions 509 to 807 of the family's 1533-position model. The record is from RNAcentral.